Molecule: ribosomal RNA, 1627 nt
Filed under: human gut metagenome
Description: bacterial LSU rRNA
Rfam family: Bacterial large subunit ribosomal RNA
Source: RNAcentral
GAGAUAGCUGGUUCUCCCCGAAAUAGCUUUAGGGCUAGCGUCGGAAAGAACCUUAGUGAAGGUAGAGCACUGAAUGUGUGAUGGCCCCAUCCCGGGGUACUGAAUACAAUCAAACUGCGAAUGUCAUUAAGGAUGUCCGGCAGUCAGACUGUGAGUGAUAAGGUCCAUGGUCAAGAGGGAAACAGCCCAGACCGCCAGUUAAGGUCCCAAAAUACAGGCUAAGUGGAAAAGGAUGUGGGGAUGCCCAGACAACUAGGAGGUUGGCUCAGAAGCAGCCAUCCUUUAAAGAGUGCGUAACAGCUCACUAGUCGAGUGACCCUGCGCCGAAAAUGUACCGGGGCUAAGCCUGAUACCGAAACUGCGGAUUGUAGGAAACUAUAGUGGUAGGGGAGCGUUGUAUACGAGCAGAAGCCGUACCGUGAGGAGCGGUGGAUUGUAUAGAAGUGAGAAUGCCGGUGUGAGUAGCGAGAUGUAGGUGAGAAUCCUACACACCGAAAGCCCAAGGAUUCCAGGGGAAGGUUCGUCCGCCCUGGGUAAGUCGGGACCUAACGCGAGGCCGAAAGGCGUAGUGGAUGGAAAGCAGGCGAAAGAUUCCUGCACCCGUAUAUGGAGCGAAGGAGUGACGGAGACGGAUAGUGUGACCCUCUUAAUGGAUUGAGGGCGAAGCGAAGCGGCUGGUUACCAGGCAAAUCCGGUAACCAUAAGGCUAGAGCGUGACAGGUAAGCGAAAUCUUAGGAAAGUAGCGAAGCACAUGAUGACGGCUUCCAGGAAAAGCUUCUGGCAAUGCAUAUGCGGCCCGUACCAAAACCGACACAGGUGGGCAGGGAGAGAAUCCCGAGGUGAGCGAGAGAACUGUUGCCAAGGAACUCGGCAAAAUGACUCCGUAAGUUAGCGAGAAGGAGUGCUUAAGCAAUUAAGCCGCAGUGAAGAGGCCCAAGCGACUGUUUAACUAAAACACAGCUCUCUGCGAAGUCGCAAGACGAAGUAUAGGGGGUGACACCUGCCCGGUGCUGGAAGGUUAAGAGGAUCUGUUAAGAGCGAUCUGAAGCAGUGAUCCGAAGCCCCAGUGAACGGCGGCCGUAACUAUAACGGUCCUAAGGUAGCGAAAUUCCUUGUCAGGUAAGUUCUGACCCGCACGAAAGGUGUAACGAUUUGGGCGCUGUCUCGGCAGCAGACUCGGUGAAAUCUUAGUACCUGUGAAAAUGCAGGUUACCCGCAACUAGACGGAAAGACCCCAUGGAGCUUUACUGCAGCCUGAUAUUGAAUUCUGGUCAUACAUGUACAGGAUAGGUGGGAGACAAAGAGACGUGCACGCCAGUGUACGAGGAGUCGACGUUGGGAUACCACUCUUGUGUGACCGGGGUUCUAACCUGGUAUCGAGAACAGGUACGGGGAGAGUGUCAGGUGGGCAGUUUGACUGGGGCGGUCGCCUCCCAAAGAGUAACGGAGGCGCCCAAAGGUACGCUCAGAUUGGAUGGAAACCAAUCGUCGAGUGCAAUUGCAGAAGCGUGCUUGACUGUGAGACAGACAAGUCGAACAGGGACGAAAGUCGGGAAUAGUGAUCCGGCGGUGCCGAAUGGAAGGGCCGUCGCUCAACGGAUAAAAGCUACCCUGGGGAUAACAGGC